AUUGAACGCUGGCGGCAGGCUUAACACAUGCAAGUCGAGCGGUAGCACAAGAGAGCUUGCUCUCUGGGUGACGAGCGGCGGACGGGUGAGUAAUGUCUGGGAAACUGCCUGAUGGAGGGGGAUAACUACUGGAAACGGUAGCUAAUACCGCAUAACGUCGCAAGACCAAAGAGGGGGACCUUCGGGCCUCUUGCCAUCAGAUGUGCCCAGAUGGGAUUAGCUAGUAGGUGGGGUAAUGGCUCACCUAGGCGACGAUCCCUAGCUGGUCUGAGAGGAUGACCAGCCACACUGGAACUGAGACACGGUCCAGACUCCUACGGGAGGCAGCAGUGGGGAAUAUUGCACAAUGGGCGCAAGCCUGAUGCAGCCAUGCCGCGUGUGUGAAGAAAGCCUUCGGGUUGUAAAGCACUUUCAGCGAGGAGGAAGGUGGUGAACUUAAUACGUUCAUCAAUUGACGUUACUCGCAGAAAAAACACCGGCUAAAUCCGUGCCAGCAGCCCCGGUAAUACGGAAGGUGGCAGCGUUAAACCGAAUUACUGGGCGUAAGCGCACGCAGGCGGUUUGUUAGUCAGAUGUGAAAUCCCCGGGCUCAACCUGGGAACUGCAUUUGAAACUGGCAAGCUAGAGUCUCGUAGAGGGGGGUAGAAUUCCAGGUGUAGCGGUGAAAUGCGUAGAGAUCUGGAGGAAUACCGGUGGCGAAGGCGGCCCCCUGGACGAAGACUGACGCUCAGGUGCGAAAGCGUGGGGAGCAAACAGGAUUAGAUACCCUGGUAGUCCACGCUGUAAACGAUGUCGAUUUGGAGGUUGUGCCCUUGAGGCGUGGCUUCCGGAGCUAACGCGUUAAAUCGACCGCCUGGGGAGUACGGCCGCAAGGUUAAAACUCAAAUGAAUUGACGGGGGCCCGCACAAGCGGUGGAGCAUGUGGUUUAAUUCGAUGCAACGCGAAGAACCUUACCUACUCUUGACAUCCAGAGAACUUUCCAGAGAUGGAUUGGUGCCUUCGGGAACUCUGAGACAGGUGCUGCAUGGCUGUCGUCAGCUCGUGUUGUGAAAUGUUGGGUUAAGUCCCGCAACGAGCGCAACCCUUAUCCUUUGUUGCCAGCGGUUCGGCCGGGAACUCAAAGGAGGCUGCCAGUGAUAAACUGGAGGAAGGUGGGGAUGACGUCAAGUCAUCAUGGCCCUUACGAGUAGGGCUACACACGUGCUACAAUGGCAUAUACAAAGAGAAGCGACCUCGCGAGAGCAAGCGGACCUCAUAAAGUAUGUCGUAGUCCGGAUUGGAGUCUGCAACUCGACUCCAUGAAGUCGGAAUCGCUAGUAAUCGUAGAUCAGAAUGCUACGGUGAAUACGUUCCCGGGCCU
This 1361-nucleotide ribosomal RNA is filed under the name uncultured bacterium. Its description in RNAcentral is "bacterial SSU rRNA". It matches the Rfam family "Bacterial small subunit ribosomal RNA", at positions 28 to 1381 of the family's 1533-position model. The record is from RNAcentral.